GGAUUAGAUACCCUGGUAGUCCACGCCCUAAACGAUGUGUGCUAGAUGUCGGGGGACUUGUCCCUCGGUGUCGGAGCUAACGUGUUAAGCACACCGCCUGGGGAGUACGGUCGCAAGAUUAAAACUCAAAGGAAUUGACGGGGGCCCGCACAAGCGGUGGAGCAUGUGGUUUAAUUCGACGCAACGCGCAGAACCUUACCAGCCCUUGACAUGCUGGCUGCGGUUCCGGGAGACCGGUUCCUUCCUUCGGGAGGCCAGUACAGGUGCUGCAUGGCUGUCGUCAGCUCGUGCCG
RNAcentral lists this ribosomal RNA (293 nucleotides) under uncultured bacterium. RNAcentral's name for it is "partial 16S ribosomal RNA". It matches the Rfam family "Bacterial small subunit ribosomal RNA", at positions 775 to 1067 of the family's 1533-position model. The record is from RNAcentral.